UUGUUGGUAAGGUAAAAGCUUACCAAGGCUUCGAUCAGUAGCUGGUCUGAGAGGACGACCAGCCACACUGGGACUGAGACACGGCCCAGACUCCUACGGGAGGCAGCAGUGGGGAAUUUUGGACAAUGGGGGCAACCCUGAUCCAGCCAUGCCGCGUGAGUGAAGAAGGCCUUCGGGUUGUAAAGCUCUUUCAGCCGGAACGAAACGGUUACGGUUAACACCCGUGACUACUGACGGUACCGGAAGAAGAAGCACCGGCUAACUACGUGCCAGCAGCCGCGGUAAUACGUAGGGUGCGAGCGUUAAUCGGAAUUACUGGGCGUAAAGCGUGCGCAGGUGGUUUUGUAAGUCAGAUGUGAAAUCCCCGGGCUCAACCUGGGAACUGCGUUUGAAACUACAAGACUAGAGUGUGGCAGAGGGGGGUGGAAUUCCGCGUGUAGCAGUGAAAUGCGUAGAGAUGUGGAGGAACACCGAUGGCGAAGGCAGCCCCCUGGGUCAACACUGACGCUCAGGCACGAAAGCAUGGGGAGCAAACAGGAUUAGAUACCCUGGUAGUCCAUGCCCUAAACGAUGUCAACUAGUUGUCGGGCCUUUACGGGCUUGGUAACGUAGCUAACGCGUGAAGUUGACCGCCUGGGGAGUACGAUCGCAAGAUUAAAACUCAAAUGAGUUGACGGGGACCCGCACAAGCGGUGGAUUAUGUGGAUUAAUUCGAUGCAACGCGAAAAACCUUACCUACCCUUGACAUGUAUCGAAGCCCGCAGAAAAGCGGGGGUGCCCGAAAGGGAACGAUAACACAGGUGCUGCAUGGCUGUCGUCAGCUCGUGUCGUGAGAUGUUGGGUUAAGUCCCGCAACGAGCGCAACCCUUGUCAUUAAUUGCCAUCAUUUAGUUGGGCACUUUAAUGAGACUGCCGG
RNAcentral lists this ribosomal RNA (916 nucleotides) under uncultured bacterium. RNAcentral's name for it is "bacterial SSU rRNA". It matches the Rfam family "Bacterial small subunit ribosomal RNA", at positions 246 to 1155 of the family's 1533-position model. The record is from RNAcentral.